Long non-coding RNA from Dinoponera quadriceps, 2266 nucleotides. RefSeq lists it as uncharacterized. Lineage: Eukaryota; Metazoa; Arthropoda; Insecta; Hymenoptera; Formicidae. The transcript is spliced from 3 exons. The record is from RefSeq and is a predicted model, not a curated record.
GAUGACCGCUAAAGCCCGACCGAUCGACGAUGUUCGAACUGACGUCCUAGCUGGAGUGUGCGCGCGCGCGGCGUGUUCCGCAGUGGUUCCGAGCGCGGCGCGUACCGUUCUGCGGGAACACGGCGACGAGGUGCAUCGGUACUACCGACGAAACCGAGGAAGAGAGAGAGAGAGAGGAGAACCAUCACCUCGACGCGAUCGUUCGGACAGCGCGGUGGUGGGGUGCUUGUCUUGCAGCGCCGGCGCUGCAUCGACCCAUCUCGGUUCUUCGAUGAUGUACGAAAAAGACGACGGUCGUCAUGCGUUCGCGCGACAACAAACAGCCUCGCUCACUCACGUGUAUCCUGGGACGAAACUCUGCGCGCGCGAGGAGGUCGACCCGUUCGUCUCGGUUCGAUUAUAAGGCCUCGGAGGAAUUGAGAAACUUGUCACGUCGCGCAAUUAAUUAAAACUUCCUCGCGCCCCUCCUCGUGCUUCUCGCUCUUAGAAUACAUUCUCUUUUGUGUUGUCCCGCCCGGAAAGGAUCAAUUUUCGAGCGCAUCAUUCCAGCAGCAGUUAUCUCUUGGGGUUGCAUUGUAGUCUCUGUACGAAUCGCGAGUCAGCUGUUCCGAUGGCGACACUUUGAGCAUUUGCCAAAGGUUAUCUGAUUUUUAUCUCCAUUAUCUGACACCGCGCCUCGCUAGCGUAUGCUCGCCGGCGCAAACACGACGAUCGAUACAUUUGUUCUUGGACUUCUUCCAAUACACGGGAGGCCGGGCGAUUCUCGUCGAACUUGACGCUCGUGCUAAAUCUCAGAUGUGUGCUGAAAAUUCUAACGGAGGUUCUUGGACGUCAGUUGACGAGGGAUUUGAAGUGAUGUAACAUCUACUUUGCUUUCCGGUUCAUCUGAAUAAAAAGUAAAGUGCGGUAGAAAUCGAAAGUACUCGGCGUAAUUGUUGGGAAAGUUCACUUUUACAUUGUCACGCUGCGUAUUUUUCCGCAAUUCUUCCAGUUCCCUAUCUCCCUUUGAAGGUCGCAGUUUCAAAUGUACUCUUUCGAGCCGUAAGUACGUGUGAUUCCAAAGCAAGCAUGUACAUUGGGUUCCAUUCGAUUUUCCGCUUUUUUUCCAUUUCACUACGUCAAUACAACGCCCGAAAUAGUAUUUUCGAGCCGUUAUAAUCGUCUCUCGUAAAAUUGAUUCACGAGUGAACAUCGUCUUGUGUCAGAAAUAUUUCUAACUUCUUUUCGAGAUAAAUGUAAUUUUCCGUAAAGGAUAUUGAAACGAUAAAAGUUGAAAAUGACGAGAAAGAGGCGUCAAUUAAGACUAGUGGGAUUCUCAGUUUGAUUCGGGUCUAAUAAUACGUGUGUUAUCGCGACAUGAGAAUCACACUGGCCGCGUUAGCGAAACCCGAUUACGAGCCGAGGUUACAUGACUGUGUUUUACGCUGUACAAACGCUGCUAAUGCAUACGCAAAGUGCGUUUAUCUGCUCCGCGGGAAUAAUCUUUCAUUAAAGGUGGCGAGCGCGCGUCGGGGGUAAAAAUAGUUGGCGUAUCCUUUGACGAAUACCACGCCGUGGUUUCAGGUCAGCGAAACGCCCACAAAGGAUUAAAGAAAAAAAAAUGUAGGAGAUAUUAUUAUUCGUCGCGUGAUUUUAUAUUCGCCCUAUAAAUAGCGCGCCAAAGAGCGGAAGAUGCGAGUUCGCUCAUAAAUGUGACUCUUAAAUAAUUACCGAGGAUAUAAAUCGAGUCCUCGAUACUAAGAGCGUAAGUUCACUCGAUCGAGUUCUCGGCAAAUUUCAAGAGAAAUAGGAGAAAAGGGUUAAUUUCUUAUCGCAAAGAUACAAAGUUUUCUUCACGCGUUGAGCCGUAAGUCGGUAGCAAAGUAUAACAAAGUAGUUUCGAAAAACAAGCGAAUGUUGUUUCAAUGUUUGGAUUAAUAAGGAGGUACAAGUUCGUGGACGGAAUUUUCAGCGAAGAAGUUUUCGAGCGAUCGCGCGAUUUUUGGUAAUAAGAUUUAUUCUCGCAGUGCGUUUCAAUGAACUUUCAAAAUCGUUCGCGACGAAAAUAUCCCCGCUUUGUGUUUCACUCACUGUUGCUUCUUCGACUGAUCCGAUUUUUCCCGGGUGAAAACGUCGGAAGUGGCUUUUCACUAUUUAACAUUAACGAUGCGAUCCGAACAGAAACUUCCUCGGACCAAAACGGACUCUUGGGUGCGUUGAUGGUCAACGGUGAUUUCGAGGACGACGAUGACGAGAUCCCGCUCUCCGGCGUACGCGGCGAUCGGUU